AACGUGCCUUCUGGUUCGGAAUAACUCAGGGAAACUUGAGCUAAUACCGGAUACGCCCUUUUUGGGGAAAGGUUUACUGCCGGAAGAUCGGCCCGCGUCUGAUUAGCUAGUUGGUGGGGUAACGGCCUACCAAGGCGACGAUCAGUAGCUGGUCUGAGAGGAUGAUCAGCCACACUGGGACUGAGACACGGCCCAGACUCCUACGGGAGGCAGCAGUGGGGAAUAUUGGACAAUGGGCGCAAGCCUGAUCCAGCCAUGCCGCGUGAGUGAUGAAGGCCUUAGGGUUGUAAAGCUCUUUUAUCCGGGACGAUGAUGACGGUACCGGAGGAAUAAGCCCCGGCUAACUUCGUGCCAGCAGCCGCGGUAAUACGAAGGGGGCUAGCGUUGCUCGGAAUCACUGGGCGUAAAGGGCGCGUAGGCGGUCUUUUAAGUCGGGGGUGAAAGCCUGUGGCUCAACCACAGAAUUGCCUUCGAUACUGGGAGACUUGAGUUCGGAAGAGGUUGGUGGAACUGCGAGUGUAGAGGUGAAAUUCGUAGAUUUCGCAAGAACACCGGUGGCGAAGGCGGCCAACUGGACCGACACUGACGCUGAGGCGCGAAAGCGUGGGAGCAAACAGGAUUAGAUACCCUGCUAGUCCACGCCGUACACGAUGAAUGCCAGCCGUUGGGGGGCUUGCCUCUCAGUGGCGCAGCUAACGCUUUGAGCAUUCCGCCUGGGGAGUACGGUCGCAAGAUUAAACUC
Molecule: ribosomal RNA, 742 nt
Filed under: Methylobacterium sp.
Lineage: Bacteria; Pseudomonadati; Pseudomonadota; Alphaproteobacteria; Hyphomicrobiales; Methylobacteriaceae
Description: bacterial SSU rRNA
Rfam family: Bacterial small subunit ribosomal RNA
Source: RNAcentral